RNAcentral lists this ribosomal RNA (465 nucleotides) under uncultured bacterium. Its description in RNAcentral is "partial 16S ribosomal RNA". It matches the Rfam family "Bacterial small subunit ribosomal RNA", at positions 28 to 507 of the family's 1533-position model. The record is from RNAcentral.
GACGAACGCUGGCGGCGUGCUUAACACAUGCAAGUCGUACGGUAAGGCCCUUUCGGGGGUACACGAGUGGCGAACGGGUGAGUAACACGUGAGUAACCUGCCCACAACUUUGGGAUAACGCUAGGAAACUGGUGCUAAUACUGGAUAUGUGCUCCUGCUGCAUGGUGGGGGUUGGAAAGCUCCGGCGGUUGUGGAUGGACUCGCGGCCUAUCAGCUUGUUGGUGGGGUAGUGGCCUACCAAGGCGGCGACGGGUAGCCGGCCUGAGAGGGUGACCGGCCACAUUGGGACUGAGAUACGGCCCAGACUCCUACGGGAGGCAGCAGUGGGGAAUAUUGCACAAGGGGCGCAAGCCUGAUGCAGCAACGCCGCGGGCGGGAUGACGGCCUUCGGGUUGUAAACCGCUUUCAGCAGGGACGAAGCUUUUUGUGACGGUACCUGCAGAAGAAGCACCGGCUAACUACGUG